ACCGAUCGCUGGCGGCAUGCCUAACACAUGCAAGUCGAACGAGACCUUCGGGUCUAGUGGCGCACGGGUGCGUAACGCGUGGGAACCUGCCCUUAGGUUCGGAAUAACUCCCCGAAAGGGGUGCUAAUACCGGAUAAUGGCUUCGGACCAAAGAUUUAUCGCCUUUGGAUGGGCCCGCGUUGGAUUAGCUAGUUGGUAGGGUAAAAGCCUACCAAGGCGACGAUCCAUAGCUGGUCUGAGAGGAUGAUCAGCCACACUGGGACUGAGACACGGCCCAGACUCCUACGGGAGGCAGCAGUGGGGAAUAUUGGACCAUGGGCGAAAGCCUGAUCCAGCAAUGCCGCGUGAGUGAUGAAGGCCUUAGGGUUGUAAAGCUCUUUUACCCGGGAUGAUAAUGACAGUACCGGGAGAAUAAGCUCCGGCUAACUCCGUG
Molecule: ribosomal RNA, 433 nt
Filed under: uncultured bacterium
Lineage: Bacteria
Description: partial 16S ribosomal RNA
Rfam family: Bacterial small subunit ribosomal RNA
Source: RNAcentral